Molecule: ribosomal RNA, 301 nt
Filed under: uncultured bacterium
Lineage: Bacteria
Description: partial 16S ribosomal RNA
Rfam family: Bacterial small subunit ribosomal RNA
Source: RNAcentral
CAGCAGCCACGGUAAUACAGAGGGUGCGAGCGUUAAUCGGAUUUACUGGGCGUAAAGCGUGCGUAGGCGGCUUCUUAAGUCGGAUGUGAAAUCCCUGAGCUUAACUUAGGAAUUGCAUUCGAUACUGGGAGGCUAGAGUAUGGGAGAGGAUGGUAGAAUUCCAGGUGUAGCGGUGAAAUGCGUAGAGAUCUGGAGGAAUAUCGAUGGCGAAGGCAGCCAUCUGGCCUAAUACUGACGCUGAGGUACGAAAGCAUGGGGAGCAAACAGGAUUAGAUACCCCCGUAGUCCCUGUCUCUUAUAC